RNAcentral lists this ribosomal RNA (780 nucleotides) under uncultured bacterium. RNAcentral describes it as "bacterial SSU rRNA". It matches the Rfam family "Bacterial small subunit ribosomal RNA", at positions 8 to 796 of the family's 1533-position model. The record is from RNAcentral.
AGAGUUUGAUCAUGGCUCAGGACGAACGCUGGCGGCGUGCUUAAUACAUGCAAGUCGAACGGGGUCCAACCGGUGGCAACACCGGGGAAGACCUAGUGGCGAACGAGUGAGUAACACGUGAGCAACCUGCCCCGAAGACCGGGAUAACACCGGGAAACUGGUGCUAAUACCGGAUACCCCCACCGGGCCGCAUGACCUGGUGAGGAAAUGAAUUUCGCUUUGGGAGGGGCUCGCGGGCUAUCAGCUUGUUGGUGAGGUAACGGCUCACCAAGGCAGCGACGGCUAGCUGGUCUGAGAGGACGACCAGCCACACUGGGACUGAGACACGGCCCAGACUCCUACGGGAGGCAGCAGUAGGGAAUCUUGCGCAAUGGGCGAAAGCCUGACGCAGCAACGCCGCGUGGGGGAUGAAGGCUCUCGGGUUGUAAACCCCUUUCAGCAGGGACGAAAUUGACGGUACCUGCAGAAGAAGCCCCGGCCAACUACGUGCCAGCAGCCGCGGUAAUACGUAGGGGGCGAGCGUUGUCCGGAUUCAUUGGGCGUAAAGAGCUCGUAGGCGGCUUGGCAAGUCGGAUGUGAAAACUCCAGGCUCAACCUGGAGCCGCCAUUCGAUACUGCCAUGGCUAGAGUCCGGUAGGGGGAGUGUGGAAUUCCCGGUGUAGCGGUGAAAUGCGCAGAUAUCGGGAGGAACACCGAUGGCGAAGGCAGCACUCUGGGCCGGCACUGACGCUGAGGAGCGAAAGCGUGGGGAGCGAACAGGAUUAGAUACCCUAGUAGUCC